RNAcentral lists this ribosomal RNA (213 nucleotides) under Chalarosphaeria breviclavata. RNAcentral's name for it is "Chalara breviclavata partial large subunit ribosomal RNA". The record is from RNAcentral. Lineage: Eukaryota; Fungi; Ascomycota; Sordariomycetes; Chaetosphaeriales; Chaetosphaeriaceae.
AAGCGUUUGCAACCAGACUUGCACGUUGCCGAUCAUCCGGUGUUCUCACCGGUGCACUCGGUUUCGUUCAGGCCAGCAUCGGUUUGGGUGGUUGGAUAAAGGCCUUGGGAAUGUAGCUUCUUUCGGGGAGUGUUAUAGCCCUCGGUGCAAUGCAGCCUACCUGGACCGAGGACCGCGCUUCGGCUAGGAUGCUGGCGUAAUGGUUGUAAAUGA